CCUACGGGUGGCAGCAGUGAGGAAUAUUGGUCAAUGGGCUUAAGCCUGAACCAGCCAAGCCGCGUGAGGGAAGACUGCCCUAUGGGUUGUAAACCUCUUUUGUCAGGGAGCAAUUGGCGCUACGUGUAGCGUUAUCGAGAGUACCUGAAGAAAAAGCAUCGGCUAACUCCGUGCCAGCAGCCGCGGUAAUACGUAGGUGGCAAGCGUUGUUCGGAAUAACUGGGCGUAAAGGAUGCGUAGGCGGUUAAACAAGUUAUAUGUUAAAUACAUAGGCUUAACCUGUAGAAAGCAUAUAAAACUGUUUAACUAGAGUGCAGGAGAGGUAAGUGGAAUUCCUAGUGUAGCGGUAAAAUGCGUAGAGAUUAGGAAGAACACCAGUGGCGAAGGCGACUUACUGGACUGUAACUGACGCUGAGGCAUGAGAGCAUGGGGAGCAAACAGGAUUAGAUACCCCAGUAGUC
RNAcentral lists this ribosomal RNA (461 nucleotides) under uncultured bacterium. RNAcentral's name for it is "partial 16S ribosomal RNA". It matches the Rfam family "Bacterial small subunit ribosomal RNA", at positions 338 to 795 of the family's 1533-position model. The record is from RNAcentral.